Molecule: unclassified non-coding RNA, 384 nt
Filed under: uncultured fungus
Lineage: Eukaryota; Fungi
Description: partial contains 5.8S ribosomal RNA and internal transcribed spacer 2
Rfam family: 5.8S ribosomal RNA (bases 1-133)
Source: RNAcentral
UGGUUCUCGCAACGAUGAAGAACGCAGCGAAAUGCGAUAAGUAAUGUGAAUUGCAGAUUUUCGUGAAUCAUUAAAUCUUUGAACGCAACUUGCGCCCUUUGGUAUUCCGGAGGGCAUAUCUGUUUGAGAAUCAGUUUAACCCUCACACUCUUUAAAGAGUGUGGAAAUGAGACUUCUCUUUUAAUUAGAGUGUCUUUAAACUGAUUACCUACUCUUGUUUUUCAAGACUUGUGUUAAACGGCAAGAUUACUGGAUGGUUUUAACCGUUCUUUACUUUGCUUACUAGACAUCUGAGGCGAAAGCAAGUUGAAGGCUUAAAAAGUACACGAAAGCUCGAAAGAGUUUUUAAGACUUGAUCUCAAAUCAGAUAAGACUACCCGCUGA